Mangifera indica (mango) is the source of this 616-nucleotide RNA transcript. It is a transcript of the gene named EPIDERMAL PATTERNING FACTOR-like protein 8, with no coding region annotated. The record is from RefSeq and is a predicted model, not a curated record. The transcript is spliced from 3 exons. Lineage: Eukaryota; Viridiplantae; Streptophyta; Magnoliopsida; Sapindales; Anacardiaceae.
UUUUUUUAGGGGUGUAAAUUAGCUUUUUUAAACUAUUGGGGCGUCGGGGAAAGUCUUAUCCCACGUCGGGUUUUCUUGAAAUUUCUCACGUCGCCGUGGGUUUUGCGAAAUUACAACAAUGCCCUUAUAUAUAAACACAGCCAAAUUUCUUAUUUCCCACGAUAAUCUUUGCGAUUUUACUGUACAUUUCAAAGAAAACUCAAAACUUUCCACGUUCAUCCCACGGCGGACCACAUUUCCGCCGAUUUUCUUGCUUUCCGGCAGCCGCAAAUGGCAAAGAAGUUUAACUUACAGGAAAAAAUUUACAAAAAAAAGCCUCAAUCAUAGUGAUGAAUCCUUUAAGAAACUUCCCACAUGGCGCAAAGCCGAAAGCAACAUUCACUGCAGCUUUCAUCUUUUUGCUCUCGUUUCUGUCACCAAAAUCUGUUUCAGGAGAAGUUAGUGAUGAUGAUAAGAAUUUUUUCGAGAUGAAACUUGGUUCAAGCCCUCCAGCUUGUGCAAACAAGUGCUUUAAUUGCAGGCCUUGCAUGGCUACUCUUGUACUUAUUGAUGACAGUAAAAAGCCUCCAAGAGCAGCACUAAAUAAUAUUGAUCUUCAAGAUUAUAUUGAGAGUUA